CAAUAGCGUAUAUUAAAGUUGUUGCGGUUAAAAGCUCGUAGUUGGAUUUCUGUCGGAGACGCGCGGUCCGCACUAUGUGCGUGUAUCUGUGUCGGCUCUGGCAUCCUCCUGGGAAGCGAUGCUGCGCUUGAUUGCGUGGUCCGGUAUUCAGGACUUUUACUUUGAGGAAAUUAGAGUGUUUACGGCAGGCAAGCGCCUUGAAUAUAUUAGCAUGGAAUAAUAACAUAGGACUUUGGUUCUAUUUUGUUGGUUUCUAGAACUAAGGUAAUGAUUAAUAGGGAUAAUUGGGGCAUGCCGUACUUUCGUUUGUUCAGAGGUGAAAUUGCUUAUGUAGUUUUACGAAAAGACGAACAACUGCGAAAGCACUUGCCAAGAGUGUUUUCAUUAAUCAAGAACGAAAGUUAGAGGAUCGAAGACGAUCAGAU
Molecule: ribosomal RNA, 425 nt
Filed under: uncultured eukaryote
Lineage: Eukaryota
Description: bacterial SSU rRNA
Rfam family: Eukaryotic small subunit ribosomal RNA
Source: RNAcentral